Molecule: long non-coding RNA, 769 nt
Filed under: Homo sapiens (human)
Lineage: Eukaryota; Metazoa; Chordata; Mammalia; Primates; Hominidae
Description: HSALNT0198667
Source: RNAcentral
GUGGAGCAGCUGACUUCUGCCCCUGGACCUCAGUGUUGCUCCUUCUCUGGCUUCAGACUCAGACGGAGUCACAUCACUGGCCUUCCAGCUCACAGACACCAGCUUAUGGGUCUUCAGACCUCUUGGCCUCUAUAAUCUUGUUCCUGGUCUUGAGGGCUUCAGCAGUGAAACUGCAAACCUUCCUGACAGAAAAGUUCUCCAAGUCCUCACUGGACCCAGAAGCGCAACCGGCUUCACCUCUCGCAGUCCAGGCGGGACUUUGCGGCACCUGUCCCAGGCACUCCUGCUUCCCAGAGGGAGGUCUUCCCAGCCAAUCAAGAGGAAGAGAGGAGAAGCUAGUAACAGAAGGAGACCCGCCAUCGUGGCCAACGACACCGCGAAGAGGGAAGGGCGGUCCAUGCACGAGACCCAGCGUCCAAUCAAGCCCAGCAGGCGCCGGCCAGCCGCGGUGAAUUUCAGUCAGUGCGUCAAAUUCCGUAAAAGAUGCAAUUGCAGUUUAACUGGGAUUCCACGGUGCAUUUCGAUCACUUUGGGAGACCGUUGACAUCUUUACAAUGUUAAUUUUCUCGUUCAAGAUUUCUCUCCAUUUACUCAGAAAGUUUCUUUUGUGUCUGCCAAUAAAGUUUUAGUUUUCCUCUCACAGGUUUUGUGUGCAUUUUUGUUACUUCCAACCUCUGCCCCCUGGUAUUUUACAGUUUUUCUAGCUAUUGUAAAUGGGACAGCUUCUUUCAAAUGGUUAUUUCUUGUGUAUAAAGAUAUGGAUUUUUAU